RNAcentral lists this ribosomal RNA (433 nucleotides) under uncultured bacterium. Its description in RNAcentral is "partial 16S ribosomal RNA". It matches the Rfam family "Bacterial small subunit ribosomal RNA", at positions 29 to 507 of the family's 1533-position model. The record is from RNAcentral.
AACGAACGCUGGCGGCAUGCCUAACACAUGCAAGUCGAACGAAGCCUUCGGGCUUACUGGUGCACGGGUGCGUAACGCGUGGGAAACUGCCUCUUGCUCUGCCAUAACGGUUAGAAUUGCCUGCUAAUACCGGCGCUAAUCUCCCGUCCAAAGGUUUGUCGGCAAGGGGGGAGCCCGAGUAGGAUUGGGUUGUUAGGUGGGUAAAGGGCUACCAAGAGGUCGUUCGUUAGCUGGGCUGGGAGGAAGAUCAGCCACACUGGGCUUAGGAAACGGCCCGGACUCCUACGCGAGGGAGGAAUGGCGAAUAUUGCACAGUGGACGCAAGUAUGAACCAGCAAUGCCGCGUGAGUGAUGAAGGCCUUGGGGAUGUAAAGCUCUUUUACCCGGGAUGAUAAUGACAUUACCUAGAGAAUAAGCACCGGCUAACUCCGUG